CAGAGUUGAUCAUGGCUCAGGAUAAACGCUGGCGGCGCACAUAAGACAUGCAAGUCGAACGAACUUAACCAUUAGUUUACUAUUGGAGCGGUUAGUGGCGGACUGGUGAGUAACACGUAAGCAACCUGCCUAUCAGAGGGGAACAACAGUUAGAAAUGACCGCUAAUACCGCAUAUGCCUUAGAAUCACAUGGUUCAAAAGGGAAAGGAGCAAUCCACUGAUAGAUGGGCUUGCGU
RNAcentral lists this ribosomal RNA (236 nucleotides) under uncultured bacterium. RNAcentral describes it as "partial 16S ribosomal RNA". It matches the Rfam family "Bacterial small subunit ribosomal RNA", at positions 8 to 236 of the family's 1533-position model. The record is from RNAcentral.